Molecule: long non-coding RNA, 688 nt
Organism: Herpailurus yagouaroundi (jaguarundi)
Lineage: Eukaryota; Metazoa; Chordata; Mammalia; Carnivora; Felidae
Exons: 3
Source: RefSeq, a predicted model, not a curated record
GCUUCCCGGCUCCCAGGACAGCAGCACGCUGCGGGCCUUCACGUCCUCCUGCUGUACCACCGGCUUACUGGGGGGCUGUGGGCGGUCUGGGAGUCGGCGGAGGAGGGUAGAAGCAGGUCCCAACAGCCGGCACCCUGGCUCCUGGCCCAUGACCUGCCCUCAGGCCGCGAGAGGCCUGGGUGCCUGGGAAUUCACAUCCCCUGAGGGCAGCCUGGCACCGCGGGACGCCAGGCCUGAGAGCCCCGGAAGCGGCCCGGGUCGUGCAAUCCAUCAUUCUACAGGUGCAGGGGCUGAGGCUGUGGAGGGAUCCGUCCUGCUCGAGUUCACGCAGCUGCUGACUUCAACCCUGUGAGUCUUCCCCCGCCGAGGGGCUGCGCGUGUGUGUUAGGGGAGGAAUCUUGACUGCGAAAUGGUGCUACAGAUCUGUAGUCUCCCUCCUCUGGGCCUUAGGUCGGAAAUGGCUGUGCUGAGCUGGCCAGUGCUCCCUCACCUGGCCACACUUACAAAUAGCAGCUGAGGUUUACCAGAUGGCUGGCGUCGUGGGGUAUUUGGGGGCAUAAAGCUAAUGAAUGGUAUUUAAGGAACCUGAACCUUGACCAUGCCCGCCAAAUGAUAUUUCUUUUUUUUUCCAAAAAUUUUUAAUGUUUAUUUAUUAAAAAAUUUUAAAUGUUUUUAUCUAUGUUUGAGA